GAAAUGCGAUACGUAGUGUGAAUUGCAGAUAAUGUGAACCAUCGAAUCUUUGAACGCAAAUUGCGCCCGAGGCUUCGGCCAAAGGCAUGUCUGCCUCAGCGUCGGCUUCACCCCUCCUCUCCCUUUGUCUUUUUGGCAAAGGCGCAGAGGGACCUGGUCGUCUCGGCGUCGCCGCCGGGUCGGCCGAAGCACAGAGGCUCGAGCGGGACCCAAUGCAUGGGCAACAGUCUGGUAGGCGACUCGUUCGCAUGCCGCUGGUGCCCCGGGACCCGGGCGAGCCCGCAGGAAGUGUGGUCGCCCACACAACUCUUUUAACUUUCGACCUGAGUUCAGGCAAGAGCACCCGCUGAACUUAA
RNAcentral lists this unclassified non-coding RNA (356 nucleotides) under uncultured fungus. RNAcentral describes it as "sequence contains ITS1". The stretch from base 1 to 104 matches the Rfam family "5.8S ribosomal RNA", at positions 50 to 154 of the family's 154-position model. Lineage: Eukaryota; Fungi. The record is from RNAcentral.